ACUCAAAUGAAUUGACGGGGGCUCACACAAGCGGUGGAGCAUGUGGUUCAAUUCGAAGCAACGCGAAGAACCUUACCAGGCCUAGACAUCAGGAUGUAACCCCCUGAAAGGGGGGCCAACUCGCAAGAGAAAUCCUGUGCAGGUGUUGCAUGGCUGUCGUCAGCUCGUGUCGUGAGAUGUCGGGUUAAGUCCCAUAACGAGCGAAACCCCUGCCGUUAGUUGCUAACAGGUGAUGCUGAGCACUCUAGCGGGACUGCCUCGUAAGACGGAGGAAGGUGGGGACGACGUCAAGUCAUCAUGGCCUUUAUGGCCUGGGCUACACACGUGCUACAAUGGUCGGUACAAAGGGAUCCGAUGCCGUGAGGCGGGGGAAAUCUCAGAAAGCCGGCCCCAGUACGGAUUGAAGGCUGCAACUCGCCUUCAUGAAGCCGGAAUCGCUAGUAAUCGCGGGUCAGCCAUACCGCGGUGAAUAUGUUCCUGAGCCUUGUACACACCGCCCGU
Molecule: ribosomal RNA, 501 nt
Filed under: uncultured bacterium
Lineage: Bacteria
Description: partial 16S ribosomal RNA
Rfam family: Bacterial small subunit ribosomal RNA
Source: RNAcentral